CAUUCUCCAGAUACUUAUCUGAGCUAAUACUUAAUUUCUGCAAAGAAGUAGAGGUCUGCUGAUUGGAAGGUAGCCAAAGCUUACAGUGAUAGUGGAUUCAUCUUUGAUGGGAUGGUUGAAGGGUAUAACAGUGGAGGUUUGCUCGUUCGUUUUCAUUCUUUAGUGGGUUUUCUUCCAUUUCCACAGUUGAGCCCAUCACACUUUUGCCAAGAACCAGGAAAAAGCGUCCAGGAGAUUGCAAAAGGUUUACCAGGUUCUCUUAUUUCUGUAAAGGUAAUCCAAGCAGAUGAAGAAAACAAGAAACUGAUAUUCUCAGAAAAGGAAGCUGUCUGGUCCAAGUUUUCUGAGAAAAUUAGUGUUGGGGAUGUUUUUGAAGCUAGGGUGGGUUCUGUGGAGGAUUACGGGGCUUUUGUUCAUCUACUAUUUCCUGAUGGUCUUUAUCAUCUGACUGGACUAGUACAUGUCUCGGAGGUUUCAUGGGAUUUAGUUCAGGAUGUAAGAGACAUUUUGUCGGAGGGCGAUGCAGUAAGAGUUAAGAUCAUUAAUAUUGAUCGAGAAAAGUCAAGAAUCACAUUGUCAAUUAAACAGUUGGAGGAAGAUCCACUUUUAGAAACAUUGGACAAAGUGAUACCACAGGAUGGCUCUGAAGGUCCUGAUUCUUUGAACCCUAACAAUAGCAGUAAUAUAGAACCUCUUCCAGGCCUUGAAGCCAUAUUUGAAGAGCUACUACAGGAAGAUGGAAUAGAUGAUGUAGGAAUCACUCGCCAAGGGUUUGAGAAAAGGGUGGUUUCACAGGACCUGCAACUUUGGCUCUCUAAUUCACCAGCCAUUAACCGGAAGUUUACUCUCCUUGCACGGGCAGGAAGGCAGGUGCAGGAAAUACAACUGACAACAACACUUGAUCAGGAAGGUAUAAAACAAGCACUCCAACGAGUAUUGGAGCGUGUCCCAUAGAUGACUUAAAACAAUCACUACGCCGUAUUCAUUCACAGUUACAUUUGUUUUGGUUGCGACUUUGGGUCAACAGAUAUUACUGUAUAGAUUGAGGAAUUGCCCUAUAAGCUGUAUAAAAAGUUAAUAGGUCACUUGGGUACCUUGUUAAAACGAAUGAUUUUUUUUUUUCUCUUUCAUGUACCAAUUUUACAAAACUGAGUUUUAGAGGGAAAUGAUGUAAUAAUGUAUU
This is an RNA transcript of Fragaria vesca subsp. vesca, 1183 nucleotides long. It is a transcript of the gene named 30S ribosomal protein S1-like, with no coding region annotated. The annotation marks the transcript as partial. Lineage: Eukaryota; Viridiplantae; Streptophyta; Magnoliopsida; Rosales; Rosaceae. The transcript is spliced from 9 exons. The record is from RefSeq and is a predicted model, not a curated record.